Molecule: long non-coding RNA, 2050 nt
Organism: Vombatus ursinus (common wombat)
Lineage: Eukaryota; Metazoa; Chordata; Mammalia; Diprotodontia; Vombatidae
Source: Ensembl
ACCAAAGGGAGGGGGGAUGAGCAGAGUCGGGUGGGGCGCUGUUGAAGCCCACUGAGCAUGCGCUCACAGGCGGAGCGUCCCGAGGCGGAGGUAGUCUGUGAGUAGCGUGUAGAGGGAAAGUUCGCUGGACUUUUCUCAGCGUGGGAGGCGAGUUGAGCUGAGACAGAAGGCGAUGGCCUGGGUCGGGAGUGGAGGAGCUGGGGAAGGAGAGGAAGGGAAGGGGAGGGGGGUUGCAGGGAGAAAGACUAGAGGAAGGAAAAAAGCGGUCAGUUGAGUUGGGGAGGAAGAGAGCAGCCAGAUUGAGGGAAGACAGUGGGGGGAAAAAGGGCGGGAAGAAGGCUUCCAACCUCUAGACAGCAUGCCUCGCUAGUCUUACCAAUUUUCCCGCCCUCACACCCUCGGGGAAGACUCGGGUUUUCAAACCCUUUCCCGCCCUCCCCCCUUCUCGUUCUUCCCCAGUAAACUCCCCCCUUUUUUUAAGUCCCUCCCUCUCAGCCCCUGCCAGAUUGGAAGGGCGACCCCUUGGCGGAAGGAUUAGGCUUGUGGUGAGGUCUGGGAGGGCGUUCGCGUGUAGGGCUCCGUGGGAGUAAGCCCGGGCGUCUUAACCGUCGUUCUUCCGAAGGAGCCAACCCGGGACAUAGCCGAAUGCCCCUGGCGGAGCAGGUCUUCAGGCCAUGGGCCUGGGCGAUCGAUGCCCUGUGGCCUUUUUGGUGGAAGGAAAGAGCAGAGCAGAGCACAGGCUGCCGUUGCAGGAGAAUGUUGCCUCAAUAGAUUGAAUUUGAUCAAGGCAUCCUUUCCUUCUGCCUUUCUAACUCAGAUACCAGAAGAGCAGACCAACAGCUUUGAAAAUAUCACAUCCACUUUCACCUCGGCAGAUAAUGGGUGGAAUGAAGUGUGGAAGACUAUCUCCUGGCCUCCACUGACUUGGCAGGAUAGGGAAUGUGGUCCAUUGAGGAGGUUUGUCAGUUGAAAAAGUAGCCUCUUUAUUGUUUUUGCCUCAUAUCCUUUUACACCUGGAGGCAAAGGACCUUAUAUCUGGAUGGAUUGAGGUUUUGAAGACUCACAUUGCCUACUGGCCUCUACUGCCUGGGCAAGCAGGGAAAUUUGACCCACUGAGGAAUUUUUAUCAGUUGAAAAAGUAGCCUCUUUAUUGUGUUUGCCUCUUCUAUCCCUUUACAUCCAGAGGCAGAAAACCUUAUAUCUGGAUGGAAUGAAGUUUUGAGGACUUACACUGCCUGUUGGCCUCCACUGCUUUGGCAGGCAAGAGAGUCUGGCCCACUGAAGAGUUUUUAUCAGUUGAAAAGUUAGCCUCUUUAUUGUUUUAGCCUCCUACAUCCCCUUUCAUCUAGAAACAGAGUACCCUUCAAAAUGGGUAGAAGGACAUGUUGAAGACACUCACUGUCUAUUGGCCUCUUACUGCCUUGGCAUCUGACCCACUGAAGAAUUUUAUCAGUUGAAAAAUUAGCCUCUUUAUUAUUAUAGCCUGUUUAGCUGACAACAUGAUGAGUGACUGAAUGAAGAAAUGGAUGAGGAAAAAAAAUUGACAGGGCAACUCAUCAUUAUCCUUGCCUGUUUCUUCAAGGAGAACCAUAAUCUUGACAUUGCUUUUGAAAUCACUAGUUAUUCUUGGGGAAUGAUGGAGCAAUAGGACUUGAUGUUCUGGAUAGCAGACUGAGACCCUUAAGGCCAGGUGCCUGCAUAGGCCCAGGAUGGAGAACCCACGGCUUUGGCUGAAUGCUUCCUACAGAGAAUGAGUAGGGUUGGUCUAACUGCCAGGGGAUCCUCAUCCUGGGGGAAAUCAAACUUUGAUGAUGGACAAAUUAUACAAACCUGUGAAUCUACCUCAUUUGACUGACAGAAGGAAGUUCUCCAAAUUACCCUCUUGGAGAGUGAUACCACUUGAGAUUUUCAAAACUGACUUAGAAAAACUAAUAGAGCAUUUGGGUAGCAGCUCUGAAAAUCUUCACCCUAACCUCAUUCAUCAGGGUUGUGUAUAUUGGCCUGUGAGGACCACCAGUAAAUAAAAAUACCAAUUUGGAGUAGGACUGCA